AUUGCAAAUCGUUCUAUCGCUCGUAGCAAUAUGAGAGGAAAGUCCGGGCAACACAGAGCAUCCUGCUUCCUAACGGGAAGGCGCCGUUCAGCCGGUGACAGAAAGUGCCACAGAAAACAAACCGCCCCGAUUUUAUCGGGGUAAGGGUGAAAACGUGAGGUAAGAGCUCACGGCUUUCCCUGGCGACAGGGAUCGCGGUAAACCUCAGGAGUUGAAAGACCAAAUAGGUCCUGGAAAUGAAGCUGCUCGCUUCUGUAUCGUUUCGGCGGUCGCCAGGAUGGGUAGGUUGCUUGAACCUGUCAGUAAUGGCAGGGCCAGAUCAAUGAUAGAACAUGACAGAACCCGGCUUACAGCUUUGCUGCUGAA
Molecule: RNase P RNA, 366 nt
Filed under: Bacteroidota bacterium
Lineage: Bacteria; Pseudomonadati; Bacteroidota
Description: Bacteroidetes bacterium (activated sludge metagenome) RNase P RNA component class A
Rfam family: Bacterial RNase P class A
About the family: Ribonuclease P (RNase P) is a ubiquitous endoribonuclease, found in archaea, bacteria and eukarya as well as chloroplasts and mitochondria. Its best characterised activity is the generation of mature 5'-ends of tRNAs by cleaving the 5'-leader elements of precursor-tRNAs. Cellular RNase Ps are ribonucleoproteins.
Source: RNAcentral